UUGUCGGGUAAGUUCCGACCUGCACGAAUGGCGUAAUGAUGGCCAGGCUGUCUCCACCCGAGACUCAGUGAAAUUGAACUCGCUGUGAAGAUGCAGUGUACCCGCGGCAAGACGGAAAGACCCCGUGAACCUUUACUAUAGCUUGACACUGAACAUUGAGCCUUGAUGUGUAGGAUCGGUGGGAGGCUUUGAAGCGAGGACGCCAGUUCUUGUGGAGCCAACCUUGAAAUACCAC
This 235-nucleotide ribosomal RNA is filed under the name Bacillus cereus. RNAcentral describes it as "partial 23S ribosomal RNA". It matches the Rfam family "Bacterial large subunit ribosomal RNA", at positions 1969 to 2203 of the family's 2925-position model. Lineage: Bacteria; Bacillati; Bacillota; Bacilli; Caryophanales; Bacillaceae. The record is from RNAcentral.